Molecule: long non-coding RNA, 4568 nt
Filed under: Sarcophilus harrisii (Tasmanian devil)
Lineage: Eukaryota; Metazoa; Chordata; Mammalia; Dasyuromorphia; Dasyuridae
Description: lncRNA (ENSSHAG00000029494.1)
Source: RNAcentral
UUUUAAACAUGAAAUAUUUAUUAAUAUUUACUAAACAGUAAGGCAGAAGCAAUAAGAAUCAUAACAUUUACUCGAUAUAAGGUAACAUAGGAAUAAUCAAAGCAUCACAGUCCAUUAUAAACACAGAGUGUCUUGUGGGAGGGAGAUAGUGGCCAUACAUUAAUAGAAAUCUAUUAGGCAGGUAUAAGUGAGGAACAUCUAUUUGGAAUAUCUUACAAUUUUAACUGCAAAUCUUGGUGUCCUUGGUUCAUUUAGUAACAAUCUAUACCACAUAAGGCUGAAUUUUAUAUUGACAGCUGUCCUUAUGGGUCUCAUUUCCUUCUUAUAGGAAAUCACUUUCUUCUGUUUUCUAGUAAAGAAGUAAUAGUUUUUCUUUCACCCUUAACAAUACACUGAGAAACUUUUUUCUUUAAAACAAUUUCAUGUAUGUAUGUGUUCAGUCUCUCAUCUACCACCCACCCAUCCACCUUUCCAUCUAUAUUUCUAUCUAUCUUCAUCUUUCCAUCUCUAUCUAACCAGUAUUUUGCUGGAUAGAUUUUAUUUUAAAUAGAAUAGAUCUAUUUAGCUAUCAGUCCAUAAAUCUAUGCAUUCAUAUUUCUAGCAUCUAUCUCAGUUUUCUAUCUAGCAUCUAUAAUCUAUCAUCUACCUAUCCAUCCACAUUUGUAUUUAUUAUCUACAUAUCUUCACCUCUUCCAUUAUACAUCUCCAGUUUUCCAUAUUCACCUAUCUAGAAUCUAUCUAUACAUCUGACUUACAGUCCAUAUAUCUAUCAUGUAUCUAUCAUCUACCCAUGUAUUUCUAUAUCUAUCUUUCUACUUACCUAUUUAUCUAUCUACCCAUCCAUCCAUCUAUCUAUUCAUCCAAACAUUCUCCUUAUUCAUUACAAGCAGGUUUCCUCAGUUUGGCUCUCUGGGAAAUGCAGAGCAGAUGACUUAGCUUAUGCUUUUUUUUUUUUUUUUUUUUUGAGACAUCUUUAAGCUAAACCAAGCCCAUCCUCUGGUAAUAAGAUCACAGCAAUGUAGAGGCAAAGCUUAUCUUACCCUGUCUAUUCAUUCUCCUACCCCCACUCCCACCCCAACCUUGCUCCCAAACUAUGGUGGCAAUAGGAGGUCAACCAGGCACUUUUUUGAGAAUUUCCCUUUCUCUCAGGCUGUAGAUGGCACUAGAUAGCCUAUUUUGUAUAAAAUCUAGAAACUAUAGAGCUUUCUUAGCUGAUCAAACCUUUCUUCAGCCAAUCAUUGUAAAGUGAUGACUUCCCCUAUCCCAAUCAGCAAGUUCCUAGCAAGAGAAAACAUUCUUUCCUAGCCUUGUGUAUAUUUUGUCAGUAGCUUCUUACAACCCCUCUGUUAAGCUUAUUCUAUUAAUUAUCUUGCUUUUCUUUUAAUUUUUGCCUCAUAUCUUUUAAUGUAUUAAAUCAGAGUUCUCUGGUGGUUAAUGAUUUAUAUUUGCCACAUAAGGUAAAGCUCAAGAAAUUUAACUUUUGGUUACUGAAGAACCCCAAAAUCUUUAUACAAUCUCUGUUAUUUGAUAGUUUCAAAAUUGUAAACUAUAAAAUUCUAAAAAACAACAAAAACAGAAACAUGCAGAUGAUUUCAUGAGCCAUAAUGCCCUACAACUGUUGAUCUCCUCGAUUGAAUUUCAAACAGGUCCUUUCAGUACAUUUUUUCUGAGGGAAAAUUCUCUAUCAGGUCUUCAGAGGUCCAUUUCUCUUCCAUUUUUUAGGAAAUAUUUUUCUUCAAUACUAUUUCUUCACAUUUUGAGUUUUAAAAGUUUUACUUAUAUAAAUGUUAUUUUAUUGUCCCCUUUCAGCAACCUAAUGGUUCACAUAAAGACAAUAUCUUGAAAUCAUAGGAUUGUAAACUUAGUUAGGUGGUAUGGUGAAUGGAGAAUGUGCCCUGGACCUUAUAAAAGUCUGAGUUAAAACCUAUCUUCAGAUACUUACUCGCUAGGAGACCUUGAACAAGUCACAUUACCUCUCUUUACACCCAUAAAAUGGGGAUAACAACACCUUCCUCUCCGGAUGGUAAAACUGAGUUAUUUGUCAAGUGCUUUGAAAAUUGUAAACACUAUAAAUUCUAGUUAUUAUUAUUAUUACCGGAAGGAACCCUAGAGGUCCACUAGUGAAAUCUUCUCAUUUUAAACAUAAGGAAACAAAUCCAAGGUAAAAUUGGUUCUCUUUGGGGUAUGUGAUUAAAGGAUAGAGAAAUAGUUAAGAGAUGUGAGGGUCAAAAUGGUAAAAUAGCCUUUAUGAGAGGAUUGAUAAAAAGAGGUGUCCCUCUGCUACCUACUACCAGUAUAAAAGUCACAACCACUUUGCUACUCAUUUUCCUUAUUUGUUAAGUGAGGUUGAACUAGAUAUUCUCCGAUUGUAAUUAUUUGUUAAUAUGAAGACUCAUUUCCCUGACCUGCUAUGGGAAAAAUGCUUUGCAAAGUUUUAAUUGCUAUAUUAUAGUUGUCAGUGAUAGUUGAUGCUGCUGUUCUACUACUAUUACUACUUUACUAUUAGUUAUUUCUACUCCUACUUUUACUAUUUCUAUUCCUAUUAUUACUACUAUUAUUAGUACUUCCCUUACUGCUAUUCCUACUACUAUUGCUACAAUUAUUACUAUUACUACCACUACCAUCACUACUACUGCUACUACUACUAAUUAUAGGUUCCCUAUUACUUUAGAAUUCCCCAGGUUCAGUGAAGGAUGCUUUGGGACCCAGUCACAGUUAUGCAAAUAUAGAUCAACUCCACAUGCAAUUAAUUCUCUACUAACAGACCAGAAAAGCUUUUGAUUGGGGUAGAAUAGAGAGGUAAAUGACGUAAGAAAGCUCCUUCAUCCACAAACUUCCACAGAUUCACAUGUUGCCUUCUGAGGAGUCUUUCCUAGAAAAUCUAUCUUACUAUGGUAACAUAAUAGCAUCAUGUUCCCGAUUGAUCGGAUGUCUUCUCGAGACUUCAUCUCCCCACACGACGGACCUUACUGCCGCUGCUCCAUCUGAGUCUGCAGUUUCCCCUACCUCUAAAGCUCUUCUGAAAAGCUACUGUUGUUGUUUCCUGGAGUUGCGAUCUACAUGUUAAUUUCCAUUAAGUACUUGUCAUUUUAGAGGUCGCUUGUUGGGUUUCUCCUUCAAAGGGAGUGCUGUUGCUCUUUUUUUCCCCUCCAUCACCAGCAUCCCCUUUAAUAAAACAGACAAACUAGCGGGUGACAGGGAGGGGAAAGGGGAUGGGAAUAUCGCCAUUUACAACCACAAAAAACCAAUUUGCACGUGGCUAACACCUGUUAGCGGGGGAGCGGGGAGGGAGGGGCAGGGCUGCCCCAGCGCCGGUGGGCAGCAGCGGCGGAGCCCAGGACCCCGCCGCAUCUAUUUGUAAAGGAUGUCGUAGUGUCCGGGUCUGUACAGAAGGUACACCUUGGUCUCGGAGCCCUCAGAGAAGACGUGGGUGUUGGUGGUGCCGCCCUCACCGCGGUCCAUGUACUCCACCUGGAUGGAGAUGCUGAGGGCCUGCGCCAGCGCCAUGAUGUGGAUGUGGUCACUCUCCUUGCACAUGGGCUCCACCUCCUGCUGACAAAACUCCUUGACCGUCUGUCCCCCCUCGAUGAAAUGCUCGAAGAACUUGCUCUCACGCUGCAGGUGGCCUGAGGUGAGCAGCCGCAGGUAAACCACCAGGUAGUCGGAGGUGCUCUGGUCAUUGAAGGAGGCCAGCAGUUCCGUUGCUGAGGUUCCCCUCUCCACCUGUUCGAUCAGGUCCAUGAAUGUGUUGUGGAAAUCUUCAAUUGUGAACUCGGCGAAGCCCUGGGCCACCAGGUCGUCCUUGCUCUUGGCGGAGACGGCUUUGAGCCUCUGCAGCUCCUUCUUGUCCUCCAGAAGGGCCUCCAGGUGGGAGAAGCCGAAAGCCCGGUAGAAGCAGUUGCCAUCGGGCCUGGUCUUUCGGAUGUAGGAGUACUUUUUGUGUAGGUCCUUGAUCUUCUGUUGGUAGAUGUUGUCAUCUUCGGCGUACUCCUUGUAAAGCACGGAGAGCUCCAGGCGCUCGGACACCAGGGGAUUUUGAACAGCAAUCUCUUGCUGAAUUCGGUCCUGCUGGGCCAUGAUGGCUUCAUCGUAGGCCAAACUGUUAAUUCCUUCAGAGUCACUUUCCAAUGGCUCCGGAUUCUGCUGAUGAGGUUCCUCCGCCGCCAUCUUUAAACAGCAUAUGGACUGCCUCGCCAACGAGCGUGCAACUGCGCAAUCAGCUCUGGUGUCAGUUCCAUAGUCACGGCGGGGGUGGCCCACAAAAAGCUCUUUUUCCCAACCUACUCACUAGCUUCCCAGAACAAAGUUUCAGAUACAGACAGUGAUCUCCAGUGCUCUUUGAUCCAGGGUAACUUGAAGCCAGCAUAGCAGGUAGAAGGGGAUUGCCAGCCAGCCCGACAGGACAACCCCCAAAGUCAAAGUAUCCAGGAUCCAAAUCCAAGGAGGGAUUGGAAGUGAGAACAACCUGAAACAGAAGACAAAUACCUCAGCACAUUUCACCAAGUGAGGGUAAAAAAGACGGAGACCACUAGAAAAACAUUUGAGGAAUGGUCAACAUGAUAUAUGCU